Long non-coding RNA from Notothenia coriiceps (black rockcod), 1095 nucleotides. RefSeq lists it as uncharacterized. NCBI's taxonomy places the organism in Eukaryota, Metazoa, Chordata, Actinopteri, Perciformes, Nototheniidae. The transcript is spliced from 2 exons. The record is from RefSeq and is a predicted model, not a curated record.
UAACAUUAUGGGGGUACAUUUAAUUUAAAUUCAUAAUAGAAAGACAUUUGAUGACAGUAUGUUGGAUUUCUGUAUUCAUUUUUUCAGCUUGAUAAUAUCUAAGCACUGACAGGUAGAAGCAGUAUCACCAGGAAAUUAUUCACUUUGUCAGUAUCAUGAUUUUAGUUGUUUUUAAUCCAUAACAUUAGUGUGUUUCUUUACCAGAGACAUUAGCAGUUCAUAUUAUAUUUAGAUUUUAAAUAGGAUCUCAAGGAUUUCAUUUAAAAUAACACAGAUGCUUGUCAGAAAUUCAGAGCUAUUGAAAUAUGUUAUUUAGUUCACCUGAAGAUGUUGGGGUUUAUUUUGUUGACACAGGCCAAGUAUUAAGAUUCUGAAGCUGCACUGGCAGAUAGGAGGUCUGCAACUAAUUUAGAAAACCUGUUCACAGACAGCUGUUGUUUUAAGACACCCCACCAACAGGCUCCAAGCAGCCUACCAGUGGUGGGUCAAACACCUGAGGGCCCAGAAGCCCUGAGCGUAGACUGGAGGGGUGGGUAUCAGAUUUCUCCACACAGGUUCCUGACGCCAAAAGGGGGACCCGAGGAGCAGGAGGCCGACACAGCGGAGUUCGUCUGGCUGAAGGUCGUCAGGCCUACGUGGCUCAACCCCAGGUUCUCCGGCCUCUACAGAGUGACCCAGAGGACAUCUCAUGCCGUCCGCCGAGGAGCAAAGGGGGACAUCUGGUACUACUGGAGCCAGUGUGCGGCAGGGAAACCUCCGGCUAGGACCAUGGAGGACAUCCCUACAGCAGACGACUCGGAAGCUGUCAUCAGCGGACUGGAGGAGAAGGACCUCGCGGACAUCCCUACAGCAGACGACUCGGAAGCGGCUGUCAGCAGGCUGGGGGACUUCUCGAGGCAGCAGAGGAGUCUACUUCUCUCUGAUCAUAUUCAUCAGUUCCACCUUUGAAGGAAAGGCCGCAUCUCCCCCUCCCUAUCAGCUGCCCUUGUUGGCGUAUUCCUUUGAGGGGGAGGGGGGCCCUGAGGAUUCAACAACACGCAAGGAUGCUGCUUUCUGGCACUCAGGCAACCACUCUGAUAGUUCCUUCACUGACAU